GAUUCCGUAGCUCAGCUGGAAGAGCGCUACGUUGACAUCGUAGAGGUCGUUGGUUCAAGCCCAAUCGGAAUCACCA
This 76-nucleotide transfer RNA is filed under the name Eubacteriaceae bacterium. RNAcentral's name for it is "tRNA-Val". It matches the Rfam family "tRNA". From Rfam's summary of the family: Transfer RNA (tRNA) molecules are approximately 80 nucleotides in length. Their secondary structure includes four short double-helical elements and three loops (D, anti-codon, and T loops). The record is from RNAcentral. Lineage: Bacteria; Bacillati; Bacillota; Clostridia; Eubacteriales; Eubacteriaceae.